Molecule: ribosomal RNA, 1487 nt
Filed under: Parcubacteria group bacterium
Lineage: Bacteria
Description: bacterial SSU rRNA
Rfam family: Bacterial small subunit ribosomal RNA
Source: RNAcentral
UUUUAUUUGAGAGUUUGAUCCUGGCUCAGGAUGAACGCUGGCGACGUGGAUAAGGCAUGCAAGUCGUACGGGCACCUUCGGGUGCUAGUGGCAAACGGGUUAGUAACACGUAGAUAUCAACCCCAUUCACGGGCAUAAUCCGCCGAAAGGCGGACUAAUUCCCGAUGGUAUUACCUUUUUGGUGAUUAAAGAUACAGAGUAAUCUGUGUCGGAAUAGGAUGAGUCUGCGGCUUAUCAGCUUGUUGGUGGGGUAAUGGCUCACCAAGGCUAUGACGGGUAGGGGGCGCGAGAGCGCGAUCCCCAACAAGGGCAUUGAGAUACGGGCCCUACUCCUACGGGAGGCAGCAGUCGAGAAUAUUCGACAAUGGGCGAAAGCCUGAUCGAGUGACGUCGCGUGCGGGAAGAAGGCCUUCGGGUCGUAAACCGCUUUUCUGGAGGAAGAACCUUUUAGGUGACGGUACUCCAGGAAUAAGAGGUUGCUAACUCUGUGCCAGCAGCAGCGGUAAUACAGAGACCUCAAGCGUUAUCCGGAUUUAUUGGGCGUAAAGAGUCCGUAGGCGGUUAGGAAAGUCUUAGGUUAAAUACCCAGGGCUCAACCUUGGGAAUGCCUGAGAUACUUUUUAACUAGAGGGCGUUAUAGGCUGACGGAACGCACGGUGUAGGGGUGAAAUCCGUUGAUAUCGUGCGGAACACCAAAAGCGAAGGCAGUCAGCUGGGACGACCCUGACGCUGAGGGACGAAAGCGUGGGGAUCAAAAAGGAUUAGAUACCCUUGUAGUCCACGCUGUAAACGAUGGACACUAGCUGCUUGAAGUGUCGACCCUUCAAGUGGCGAAGCUAACGCGUUAAGUGUCCCGCCUGGGGAGUACGGCGGCAACGCUAAAACUCAAAGGAAUAGACGGGGUUUCACACAAGCGGUGGACCAUGUGGCUUAAUUCGACAAUAAGCGAGGAACCUUACCAGGGCUUGACAGACUAGUGAACGUUCACGGAAACGUGGACCUACCCACAAGGACACUAGUUCAGGUGCUGCAUGGUUGUCGUCAGCAUGUAUCUUGAGACGCUCCCUUAAAUGGGGUAACAUGCGCAACCCUCAUCCUGUGUUUUAUUUGUCACAGGAAACUGCCCGGGACAACCGGGAGGAAGGUGAGGAUGACGCCAAAUCAGCAUGGCCCUUUGAUGCCCUGGGCUGCACACGUGGUACAAUGGGACCGACAAUGGGUUGCCAAGGCGCAAGCUGGAGCUAAUCCCAACAAACGGUCUCACAGUUCGGAUCGAGGUCUGCAACUCGACCUCAUGAAGCUGGAAUCGCUAGUAAUCGCCAAUCAGCCAUGUGGCGAUGAAUAUGUUCCUGAAACUUGUACUCACCGCCCGUCACACCAGAAGAGCUGGCAAUACCCGAAGUUCCGAGCAAUCGGACCUAAGGUAAGGUCAGUAAUGAGGGUGAAGUCGUAACAAGGCACCGGUAGGGGAACCUGUCGGUGGAUCA